Osmia bicornis bicornis is the source of this 4275-nucleotide long non-coding RNA. RefSeq lists it as uncharacterized. The transcript has 4 exons. The record is from RefSeq and is a predicted model, not a curated record. Lineage: Eukaryota; Metazoa; Arthropoda; Insecta; Hymenoptera; Megachilidae.
CUUUGUCGUUUUAAAAAAUUAAAAUUUGUCGAAAUCGGGAAAGAAAUAGUAAAAGGCAAUUUUUCUACCUUUUUAUAUAAGCCUGUAAUGAAAAUUUAAAAUAUGUCUUUGGUAGAUUCAAAUAAGUUAUGUUUAUGUUGAAAAUUUCAUCGAGAUCGGUCGAUGCACUUAGAAGUUAUAGAUAAUUAACGAUAGAUAAUUAACGACGUUUCAUCUAAGAACGGAACUAGUCACGAUUUCGGUAAAUUUUAAUUUUUUAAAACGACAAAGGCACAUAUCUUAGAUAAUCAAUUUGUAUUUUGGUCCAAUUUUAAACAAGGUAUUCUGUUUUAAACGGUGGACGAAUACUUUUGCGGCAGGAUGUACAUACAUAUAAGACUUUUAUAGUUUUAGACUAAUUAUUUUAUACCUCACGGUUUACAGAACACGAGUUUCCGAAUUACAUAAAUAAGAUUACAUAAAGUAGGUAUCGGAUUAAUAUACUGCGUUAACUGGAACGUUAGAUUUUGUUACAUGACGUAACAUUGCUUUAUGCAACAAAGCACCUUGCGAACGGUCUUUCUUUCGAGGAAAGGUAUUCGUAUCGCUUAAUUAGAUGGGCGGUAAUAACAGGUGUCUUCUACCCGGAAUGGUUUAAAAUCAGAUCUUUCAACAACAAUGGGUAUAACCGAGUUUUCUGUAUAAUUAAAUAUAAUAAUUGUUAAUUAUAGGGUAAAGUCGGAAACAUAUAGAGUUACACUUAGGUUUUCUAAAAAAGAAAGUAGAAGCAAACAUUUUCUGGAUGUGGAGAGUUAACUUAAAGUAAGAGAUAUCAAUAAAAAAAAAAUAUUAUAAAAAACGAAACAAUAGGUCUAUUGUAUCGAAAGAAUGUCUGUCGAAGUAUUUUCUGUUCCAGAUGAAUCAUCGACGGAUUUUCACCGCUUAUCGCAAUGAUGUAAAGGUAAAACCUCAUCCUAUAUGGCCAGCCAAUCGUGUAGAUUGCAUUUCUUCAACAAUCACAUCAUUGUUAGCGUGCACGAUGCGUGGAGAAGGGUAUUAUGUAGUUACCAGUACAUUCGUGAAAGGUGUCGUUACUUUCUAACAUGCAAUUAUUCUAACGAAUGUUGUCGCGCCUUUCAACUCAUGCGAAUGCAUAAUGUCAUUCUAUUGCAACGGUGUUGAUACAUCGCAGACAGGACAGAGGAGUUUCGUUGACGUUGGUCGAGUUAGAAAUUUCAAGGAGAAACACUUUCACUGUCACAUUGUGUUAUCUCUUGUGUAAUUAUCACAUGCUCUAAACUGAUUAUUGUAAAGUGACUCACCCAUUUGUUUAGAUAACACUUAAUAGAUUUUGAUAGAACAAUAAUUAUAUAAAAUAGAUAUUCAAUAUGGUAGACUGAAUAUUCGAACUUGAAGUGAUGAAACAAAAAAUUGCAUCACUGUUCUGUUUAUUAACAAGUAGGUGAAUCACUGUAAUUCGUUUCCUUUUAUUCUUUGAAUUGUUUUAAACAGUGUAGAGUAUAAAAGGAGUCGAUAAUUGUACAGAGCAAUUGCAAAAAGUGUAGUCAAAGGAAAGGAGGGAGAACAUUGUGUACCCUAGAGCACUGAUUGCCUUCUAGGAACGUGAUUUAUUUAAACAGUGACGUGAUCGUUACGGUUUUCUCAAUGCCAGCGUUGUCACACCGAAGGUUUAACAGGAUAGCCGUUCACGCCAACGCUAAAACGUGCCAUGGUUUGUGGCACCGGUUUUUUAUGGACGCUUGGAUCUCAAGAAAGUGGUCCGUGUAUCGGUUGAUCGUAUCAGAUGUUAAAUAGAACAUUCGAAACCAAUGACGUUUAGUAUUUCAAAAUAAUCAGUAUUAACACGUUCGCUGUUGGACGACUAAUAUUAAUACGUCAAGGCGUUCUUUUUCUUCUAUCUGAUAGAUAUAUUAAAUGAUUGCAAAUUUAAUGCUCUAGGUGGCAAAUUAACUUUAGAUUAGACGUAUGCAACAUUGCGAAAGUGUAGGCAGGCAGUUUCACUUUCCCUCUUAUCGAACACAUUCUCACUUUUUGCAUAAAAAAAAAAGCGAACUUGUACUAUCGAACGCGAUUAAUGUUAAUUAAUAGAUCGUGUUCUCUUUGUACGAUAAUUAUGGAAAAACUUACUCUCGAGAGGAGAAAGGAGAUAUUUCACGAUUUACCGUGCAAUUUCGUUAAUAAUGUUGAGUUACGAGAAAAUUUCAUGCGAUUUGCACGGUAAAAGGUGACUGUUUUUUGUACUUUUGUUAUCGCAUUGCGUACACUAUCUGAAACGUAUAAAGCGAACCGAUAAAGUAAAUGGAUUGUAAUUUUUAGAGGAAGGUCUAUUGUUUUUGAGUAGAUUUGAUAGAUUUGAGUAUUUUCAAGAAAUAAGACCUUUUGUUUUUCCAUUUUGUUCGUCGUCUUCGCAUCUUGUCAUGUUAUUCAUCGUACCAUGACACGCUUUCGACAAGCGGAUUUUGUUUAUUAUUUCUCAUUGUAAAGACAAUUGCUCCUGGCGAGAGGUGUGUUCAACGGUUCGUAGAUCCUGAAUCACCGUUAUGUUAUAAUAAUUAGUCAGACACACGAACAGGAGAACAGGAUACGGUAGUGGGUUGCACCGAGACGAGCAGGAUCGCGUGAAAGUUUUCACGGUGCUCGUUCCUCUUGAUUCAAGAGUCUUGACCAUAUCCUGCAACCUGAUUCAUUUCGUUUUCUCGCCCGACAACUUCUCUUUAUAAGGCACACGAGAAGCUUCACCCUCAAGGUGAAACACCAUUUGCGAAACACACCUCUCGCUUGCAUGACAAACAGUUUAACUGUAUCUUGUUGCAUUCAUUUAUUUACAUAGAAAGGGUUUUGUCGAGCAAAAUUAACACUUUCGAAAAAAAUUGUUUCAGAAUUGAGAUUCAAGCGUCCAUCGCUACUCGAAUUAAAAUUAUUCUAUAUAUAAUUAGUGAUAAUAAUCGCAAAAGAGCUGUAAUUAUGUGCAUGUAAGGGAAAUAGGAAGCAAAUUAGUGCCUCGAUCAGACUCUUUUUUAAAAGCGAUUAAAUUGUUGAUUCACUCGAUAAAAUGGAUCGUUCCAACAUCAUGGCCUAGAUGCUUCGUAUUUUUCGCAUUGGACCUACAUUCCAAUAGAUAAUUGAAUUGCUCAUGACAACCUAGUUGCCUUAAGAGACAAAAUUAUAUACAUUAGGGACGAUCUCGAAUAAGGAUAAUGGAACUAGAUCAUCUUACGAAAUUUUGGAUUGAAGAGAUCACCUCUGGGCAGUUAUCCCUUCUUUCAUAAUAGAUUGACAGUGCUGUCCACUUGUAUGCAUCACUGGAUUAAUUAAUUAAUUGUAAAACAAUAAGUCAAGAUAGUGGGUGACCGUAAAAACAUGGCACAAGUAAAUUGAUAAAAAAAGAAAGUAAUAUAGUUUCUCUAUCACGAACAUCAAUUUGAAUGUAUCCGUUUCAAAAACAGGACGAUUACAAAAUGUAGGACUUGGGUUGGGUCGACAACAAUGAAAGUCAGGACCUGAAUGAAAUUUGUGAAACAGACUGAUUGCAUGUUUCUCUUCGUUUCAAGCUUUCGAGGAAAUCAUCUUUGAUUAUACGUUACGCUUGCCAGUCACUUUGUUCGAUGGUAACUUGACAAAUGCGUGUUAUUAGGGGAGAAAGUAUCAAUUACUUAAGGGAUUUUGUAAAUUUAUUAAUCGGACAGAGGUACAAUUAUCUUUUAUAACGAGUUUAUUGAUUGAUGCGUUGAUUGCCACAGUGGGAAUGGAUAUGUAUAGCCAGAGAAAUUGGAAUGACACUUAUUAGGAUAAGAUUAUAUCAUUUGUAACGCUGGUUACCGAUGACAAGCGUUAAAGAAUUUUGAAUGACGCGCGGAAAAAUUUUGUAUGCGCGGGAAUCUCCUACAUCCGUUCGAUCUGCGCAUGUGCGCAGUUUAGUGGAAUCCUUGGUGAUUAUGUUACCCCUAUGACAUUUUACGUAUUUUAAGAAAGUAAAAGGAUUCUGAAACAAACAUCGAACUCGAUGCAACCUUAUGCCCAUUCCUGCAAACUCGUCCGUCUAAUUAGCUUCAUCUGCAAUUCAGCAAAAUGUUUCUAAACAAGCAGUUUCACUUCUGAACGGGUCAUCGUUCUAAGAAAGUCCGUACGGCAUCCUCGAACGUGGGGGUUCGAAACGAUAAAAAUCGUCCUACUUUCUGGACACGUACAGUACAGAUAAGAAGACAGUCUAAGAAUUUUUAGACUAGAAAAAUAAAAGAGGACUCACCGCGAAGAACGUCAGCAGGGAUGAGUCUU